CAUGUCCUUUUGAUAAUAAUUUAAGGUCUAAUCUGCUCAAUGAAAAUUAAAUUGCCGCAGUAUUUUGACUGUGCAAAGGUAGCAUAAUAAUUAGUUUAUUAAUUAUAAACUGGAAUGAAUGAUUGGACAAGAAAAUUACUGUCUCUUUAUUAAUUAAUUGAAUUUUAUUUUUAAGUGAAAAAGCUUAAAUUAAUUUAAAAGACGAGAAGACCCUAUAGAGUUUAAUAUAUUUAUUUAUUUAAUAUUAGAAUAUUUAUGAAAAUAAUAUAUUUAGUUGGGGUGACUUAAAAAUUUAAAUAAUUUUUUAAUUUUUUAAUUGGAGAUUUCUAAAUUUAAUAUCUAUAAUUUAUAAUUAUAAAAUAAAUUACCUUAGGGAUAACAGCGUAAUUAUUUUUAAAAGAUCUUAUUUAAAAAAUAGUUUGCGACCUCGAUGUUGGAUUAAAAUUAAUUUUUGGUGAAGUAGCUGAGAUAUUAGGUCUGUUCGACCUUUAAAAUUUUACAUGAUCUGAGUUUAGACCGGUGUAAACCAGGUUGGAUUCUAUCUUUAAAAAAAUUAUAUAUUUUAGUACGAAAGGACCAAUUAUAUAUUAUAUUAAUUG
RNAcentral lists this ribosomal RNA (599 nucleotides) under Metanoeus sp. UPOL 000026. RNAcentral describes it as "partial 16S ribosomal RNA". The stretch from base 375 to 533 matches the Rfam family "Bacterial large subunit ribosomal RNA", at positions 2473 to 2632 of the family's 2925-position model. The record is from RNAcentral. Lineage: Eukaryota; Metazoa; Arthropoda; Insecta; Coleoptera; Lycidae.